RNAcentral lists this ribosomal RNA (330 nucleotides) under uncultured eukaryote. RNAcentral's name for it is "partial 18S ribosomal RNA". It matches the Rfam family "Eukaryotic small subunit ribosomal RNA", at positions 1470 to 1796 of the family's 1831-position model. The record is from RNAcentral.
CCCUUAGAUGUUCUGGGCUGCACGCGCGCUACACUGAUGCGUUCAACGAGUUUAUGACCUUGCCCGAUAGGGUUGGGUAAUCUUUUUAAAUCGCAUCGUGAUGGGGAUAGAUUAUUGCAAUUAUUAAUCUUCAACGAGGAAUUCCUAGUAAGCGCGAGUCAUCAGCUCGUGCUGAUUACGUCCCUGCCCUUUGUACACACCGCCCGUCGCUCCUACCGAUUGAAUGAUCCGAUGAAUACCAUGGAUUGAGAGUACGAAUAGGUUCGCUUAUUUCUGCUGCUCGAGAAGUGGAGUAAAUCUUAUCAUUUAGAGGAAGGAGAAGUCGUAACA